RNAcentral lists this ribosomal RNA (497 nucleotides) under uncultured bacterium. RNAcentral's name for it is "partial 16S ribosomal RNA". It matches the Rfam family "Bacterial small subunit ribosomal RNA", at positions 28 to 507 of the family's 1533-position model. The record is from RNAcentral.
GAUGAACGCUGGCGGCGUGCCUAAUACAUGCCAGUCGAGCGAACAGACGAGGAGCUUGCUCCUCUGACGUUAGCGGCGGACGGGUGAGUAACACGUGGAUAACUUACCUAUAAGACGGGGAUAACUUCGGGAAACCGGAGCAAAUACCGGAUAAUAUAUUGAACCGCAUGGUUCAUUAGUAAAAGACGGUUUUGCUGUCACUUAUAGAGGGAUCCGCGCGGCAUUAGCUAGUUGGUAAGGUAACGGCUUACCAAGGCAACGAUGUGUAGCCGACCUGAGAGGGUGAUCGGCCACCCUGGAACUGAGACACGGUCCAGACUCCUACGGGAGGCAGCAGUAGGGAAUCUUCCGCAAUGGGCGAAAGCCUGACGGAGCAACGCCGCGUGAGUGAUGAAGGUCUUCGGAUCGUAAAACUCUGUUAUUAGGGAAGAACAAAUGUGUAAGUAACUAUGCACGUCUUGACGGUACCUAAUCAGAAAGCCACGGCUAACUACGUG